Molecule: ribosomal RNA, 301 nt
Filed under: uncultured bacterium
Lineage: Bacteria
Description: partial 16S ribosomal RNA
Rfam family: Bacterial small subunit ribosomal RNA
Source: RNAcentral
CAGUAGCCACGGUAAUACGAAGGGUGCAAGCGUUAAUCGGAAUUACUGGGCGUAAAGCGUGCGUAGGCGGUGAGUUAAGUCUGCUGUGAAAUCCCCGGGCUCAACCUGGGAAUGGCAGUGGAUACUGGCUCGCUAGAGUGUGUCAGAGGAUGGUGGAAUUCCCGGUGUAGCGGUGAAAUGCGUAGAGAUCGGGAGGAACAUCAGUGGCGAAGGCGGCCAUCUGGGACAACACUGACGCUGAGGCACGAAAGCGUGGGGAGCAAAAAGGAUUAGAUACCCCCGUAGUCCCUGUCUCUUAUAC